Molecule: ribosomal RNA, 1341 nt
Filed under: uncultured bacterium
Lineage: Bacteria
Description: partial 16S ribosomal RNA
Rfam family: Bacterial small subunit ribosomal RNA
Source: RNAcentral
GACGAACUCUGGCGGCGUGCUUAACACAUGCAAGUCGAACGGUAAGGCUCCAGCUUGCUGGGGUACACGAGUGGCGAACGGGUGAGUAACACGUGGGUGACCUGCCCUGCACUUCGGGAUAAGCCUGGGAAACUGGGUCUAAUACCAGAUAGGACCGCACCGUGAGGGUGUGGUGGAAAGUUUUUUCGGUGUGGGAUGGGCCCGCGGCCUAUCAGCUUGUUGGUGGGGUAAUGGCCUACCAAGGCGGCGACGGGUAGCCGGCCUGAGAGGGUGGACGGCCACAUUGGGACUGAGACACGGCCCAGACUCCUACGGGAGGCAGCAGUGGGGAAUAUUGCACAAUGGGCGGAAGCCUGAUGCAGCGACGCCGCGUGGGGGAUGACGGCCUUCGGGUUGUAAACUCCUUUCACCAUCGACGAAGGGUUUCUGACGGUAGAUGGAGAAGAAGCACCGGCUAACUACGUGCCAGCAGCCGCGGUAAUACGUAGGGUGCGAGCGUUGUCCGGAAUUACUGGGCGUAAAGAGCUCGUAGGUGGUUUGUCGCGUCGUCUGUGAAAUUCCGGGGCUUAACUCCGGGCGUGCAGGCGAUACGGGCAUAACUUGAGUACUGUAGGGGAGACUGGAAUUCCUGGUGUAGCGGUGAAAUGCGCAGAUAUCAGGAGGAACACCGGUGGCGAAGGCGGGUCUCUGGGCAGUAACUGACGCUGAGGAGCGAAAGCAUGGGGAGCGAACAGGAUUAGAUACCCUGGUAGUCCAUGCCGUAAACGGUGGGCGCUAGGUGUGGGUUUCCUUCCACGGGAUCCGUGCCGUAGCUAACGCAUUAAGCGCCCCGCCUGGGGAGUACGGCCGCAAGGCUAAAACUCAAAGGAAUUGACGGGGGCCCGCACAAGCGGCGGAGCAUGUGGAUUAAUUCGAUGCAACGCGAAGAACCUUACCUGGGCUUGACAUAUACAGGAUCGCGCCAGAGAUGGUGUUUCCCUUGUGGCUUGUAUACAGGUGGUGCAUGGUUGUCGUCAGCUCGUGUCGUGAGAUGUUGGGUUAAGUCCCGCAACGAGCGCAACCCUUGUCUUAUGUUGCCAGCACGUUGUGGUGGGGACUCGUAAGAAACUGCCGGGGUUAACUCGGAGGAAGGUGGGGAUGACGUCAAAUCAUCAUGCCCCUUAUGUCCAGGGCUUCACACAUGCUACAAUGGUCGGUACAGUGGGUUGCCAGUCCGUGAGGGCGAGCUAAUCCCGCAAAGCCGGUCUCAGUUCGGAUCGGGGUCUGCAACUCGACCCCGUGAAGUCGGAGUCGCUAGUAAUCGCAGAUCAGCAACGCUGCGGUGAAUACGUUCCCGGGCCU